This is a long non-coding RNA of Felis catus (domestic cat), 1305 nucleotides long. RefSeq lists it as uncharacterized. The record is from RefSeq and is a predicted model, not a curated record. The transcript is spliced from 3 exons. NCBI's taxonomy places the organism in Eukaryota, Metazoa, Chordata, Mammalia, Carnivora, Felidae.
UAGGAUUUGAACCCACAACCUCAAGAUCAAGAGUCACACGCUCUUCUGAUUGGGCCACCCAGGAGUCCCCAAAAAUGGUGAUUUAAAGUUCAUUUUCUAAUUGCAUAGGGAAACAUGAUCUAUUUCCAUGUUCCCUCAUCACUAUUCUUUAUGACAAACUGCAGUGUAAGCCUGGCUUUUGCCUUCUAUUUUAGAUUCAACGUCCUUUUCUAACUCAACUUGAAUUGUUUUUUAAGAAUCAGACUCCCCCAGGACUUGCCUGCUACUCUCAGAUUCAAGCCAAAUUGGAUAAAAAGUCCUUUUGCCUCAUUUAAACUUUAAGGAAACAUGGUUUUCCUCGUCUACUGCUGUAGCAAUUCCACAAACAGAAACUUCUCAUUCCUUCUGUCAAGUCCAAAUUUCAUGACUUCAUGGGGGGUGGGUGAGGGACUAAAAAUCCCAGAAGAGGGACCUUUUCCCUUCUCUACAAGGAGAGAAGGAGAACAAGGAGAGAAACCAAGACCUUCCAGAGGGGGAGCAUCACCUGUGGCUGAGGUUAUUUAUAGGACUUGGAUUUAAAUUUAAUUCUGCCCUCUGGUAACUCCAGUGGCACCUGCUACUUUAAGAGCUGGCCCCACCCUCUACGUAAGAGAGCUGUUUAGCUCCAGUGCGUACAGAUCAAAUGCAAGUUUAGCAGGCAAGAGACGAGAAACAUAAACAAGUUCUGCAAUGGGUCCCUGGAAGAGGGGGGCCAGUGUGGUGGCUGGAGUCAGGCUGUGUCACCUGGGCAUGAGGACUGGGCAUGGAUUUAAACUAUGCUGCCCCUAGAAUAUAAAAUGGGGCGGCCGCUCCGAAAAACAUUGCACAUGUGGUCCAGCCAUUCCUCUUCUAGGUACAGACUCAAAAGAAUUGAAUGCAGGGACUUAAAUGGGUAUUUGAACAGUCACGUUCACAAUAGCCUAAAGGUAGAAGCAAGACAAGAGUCCCUGGACAGAUGAAUGACUAAGCACAAUGUGGAAUAUGCACACAGUGGGAUGUCAUUCAGCCUUUAAAAAGUAGGCAAUUGUGACACCUGCUCCAAUACGGAUGUACCUUGAGCACAUUACUCUGCGUGAAAUAAGCAAGACAUAAAAGGACAGAUACGAUACGAUCCCACUUCUACGAGGUAAUUUUCACAACAAACUUCAGCGAGAUUAAGCAACUUUCCCAAGUUCACCAAGCCAGGAAGGAGGAAUUUGAACCCAGGUGUCCAGGGGCACAACUCAUCGCUUCCCAGGCUGAGAAGAGUCAUGUGACAGCAGCUUGAAAAGGCGAACCUGCAGGUGC